RNAcentral lists this ribosomal RNA (1416 nucleotides) under Triticum aestivum (bread wheat). Its description in RNAcentral is "partial small subunit ribosomal RNA". The record is from RNAcentral. Lineage: Eukaryota; Viridiplantae; Streptophyta; Magnoliopsida; Poales; Poaceae.
AUGCGUCAGCUAGCCAAACCCGGCGCGCCCAAAGGGCGGUCGCGCCGGGCCGUCGCCGGAGCCAAGGAGAAGGCGGUGGCCGGCUCAUUCCGGCGGCUGUGCUUCGCUGCCGUCCUCGCGGUAACCUUCUUCCUCUACUACCGUUUCUCACAGCUGGACGACCCGUGCCGGGGACGGUACAUCCACGUUUGCAAGCUGCCGCCGCGCUUCAACACCGACAUGACGCGCGACGCCUGUCGCGGCGAUGGGCGCUGGCCCGCGGGCGCGUGCGAGUCCAUCGACAAUGCCGGCCUCGGCCCGCCGCUCGCCGACCCGGCCGACGGCGUGCUCACCGGCGAGGACGGGUGGUACGGCACGCGCCAGCUCGCCCUCGACAUCAUCUUCCACAACCGGAUGAAGCGGUACGAGUGCCUCACCAACCACACCGCCGUGGCCACCGCCGUCUUCGUGCCGUUCUACGCCGCCCUCGACUUCGCCCGCUACGCCGGCCAGGACAACGUGACGCGGGACGCCGCGUCGGUCGACCUGGCGGAGUGGCUCAAGUGGCGGCUCCUGUACGAUCAGCAAUGGCCCCAGGACGGCCACGACAAUUUCCUCGUCGCCGGGAGGACGGCGCGGGACCUGGCGAGGGAUGGCGGCAACUCCGGCGGCCCGAACUGGGGCACGAACCUCCUCGCCAGGCCGGUUGGCCGGAACCUGUCGGUGCUCGUCUUGGAGUCGUCGCUGGCGCCGAACGCGAGCGAGUUCGCCGUGCCGUACCCGACCUACUUCCACCCCAGGACCGACGCCGACGUGUUCCGGUGGCAGGACAGGGUGCGCGGCCUGCAGCGGAAGUGGCUCAUGGCGUUCGUCUCCGGCAAGCCGCGGGGGACGGAGAAGGCAGCAACGGCGACCAUCCACGACCAUGUCAUGGCCCAGUGCAAGGCGUCGGACGCGUGUGGGCACCUGCCGCCGGACCCGGACUGCGCUACCGGGACCGACCACGGUGAGUGCCACUCCCCUGUCAAGGCCAUGCGGCUGCUCCAGAGCGCGACCUUCUGCCUGCAUCCACCGCCAGGCGGCUCGCCCCCGUCGUACACGCGGCGGUGGGUGUUUGACGCGAUGGUGGCCGGGUGCAUCCCGGUCUUCUUCCACCCGGCGUCGGCGCACCUGCAGUACAGGUGGCACCUCCCCGAGGACCACGCCAAGUACUCGGUGUUCAUCCCGGAGGCCGGCGUCCGGGCGGGCACGGCGAGCAUCGAGGCCGUGCUCCGGGCGAUCCCGGCGGCGACGGUGGCGCGGAUGCGGGAGGAGGUGGUGAGGCUCAUCCCGCAGGUGGUCUACGCCGAUCCCCGGGGGAAGCUGGAGACUGUCAAGGACGCCUUCGACAUCGCCGUCGACGGGAUGCUCGACAGGGUGGCAAGGCUCCGGAAUUAA